RNAcentral lists this transfer RNA (74 nucleotides) under Gammaproteobacteria bacterium. RNAcentral describes it as "tRNA-Cys". It matches the Rfam family "tRNA". From Rfam's summary of the family: Transfer RNA (tRNA) molecules are approximately 80 nucleotides in length. Their secondary structure includes four short double-helical elements and three loops (D, anti-codon, and T loops). RNAcentral also lists the same sequence under 2 other names. The record is from RNAcentral. Lineage: Bacteria; Pseudomonadati; Pseudomonadota; Gammaproteobacteria.
GGCCGAGUGGCAGAGUGGCUAUGCAGCGGAUUGCAAAUCCGUGGACCUCGGUUCGACUCCGGGCUCGGCCUCCA